GGGGCUAGAGCUCAGUGGUAGAGCACUUGCCUCUCAUGCAUGCAGUCCUUGGUUCAAUCCCUAGUACUGCUA
Molecule: transfer RNA, 72 nt
Filed under: Cricetulus griseus (Chinese hamster)
Lineage: Eukaryota; Metazoa; Chordata; Mammalia; Rodentia; Cricetidae
Rfam family: tRNA
About the family: Transfer RNA (tRNA) molecules are approximately 80 nucleotides in length.
Source: Rfam by way of RNAcentral